AGUGAACGCUGGCGGUAGGCCUAACACAUGCAAGUCGAACGGCAGCACAGAGGAGCUUGCUCCUUGGGUGGCGAGUGGCGGACGGGUGAGGAAUACAUCGGAAUCUACUCUGUCGUGGGGGAUAACGUAGGGAAACUUACGCUAAUACCGCAUACGACCUACGGGUGAAAGCAGGGGAUCUUCGGACCUUGCGCGAUUGAAUGAGCCGAUGUCGGAUUAGCUAGUUGGCGGGGUAAAGGCGCACCAAGGCGACGAUCCGUAGCUGGUCUGAGAGGAUGAUCAGACACAUUGUAGCUGAGAUACGGUCCAGACUCAUACUGGAUGCAGCAGUGGGGAAUAUUGGACAAUGGGCGCAAGCCUGAUUCAGCCAUACCGCGUGGGUGAAGAAGGCCUUCGGGUUGUAAAGUCCUUUUGUUGGGAAAGAAAUCCAGCUGGCUAAUACCCGGUUGGGAUGACGGUACCCAAAGAAUAAGCACCGGCUAACUUCGUGCCAGCCGCCGCCGUAA
RNAcentral lists this ribosomal RNA (506 nucleotides) under uncultured bacterium. RNAcentral's name for it is "partial 16S ribosomal RNA". It matches the Rfam family "Bacterial small subunit ribosomal RNA", at positions 29 to 523 of the family's 1533-position model. The record is from RNAcentral.